UUCGUAUUUGUCCAAUUACCAUGAUCGUUGACAUGUAUCGAAGUUCUAAUGUGAAUUAAAUGGGUUAUACAUGGGUUUUCCAUAUAUGUACACAGGCAAAUUUUGUUCAGGUAAAUUUCAUGUGAGAUUCACCUGAAACAAGCUUAUACAUGAAACUCGCGUUCAAUUAAUGUGAAUUGAGCUCAGCUAACAUGAAAUUCAUGUUAAAUUUUUCAUGUGAAGCUAACCUGAAUCAAGCAUUCAUAUUAAUUUUUUUAAAAUGAAAUGAAGGUGAAUUGAGCACCAAUCACAC
RNAcentral lists this long non-coding RNA (292 nucleotides) under Mytilus galloprovincialis (Mediterranean mussel). The record is from RNAcentral. Lineage: Eukaryota; Metazoa; Mollusca; Bivalvia; Mytilida; Mytilidae.